RNAcentral lists this ribosomal RNA (245 nucleotides) under uncultured Prevotella sp. Its description in RNAcentral is "partial 16S ribosomal RNA". It matches the Rfam family "Bacterial small subunit ribosomal RNA", at positions 524 to 768 of the family's 1533-position model. The record is from RNAcentral. Lineage: Bacteria; Pseudomonadati; Bacteroidota; Bacteroidia; Bacteroidales; Prevotellaceae.
UACGGAAGGUCCGGGCGUUAUCCGGAUUUAUUGGGUUUAAAGGGAGCGCAGGCUGGCCUUUAAGCGUGACGUGAAAUGUCCCGGCUCAACCGGGGAGUUGCGUCGCGAACUGGUGGUCUUGAGUGAGUGCGAGGUACGCGGAAUUCGUGGUGUAGCGGUGAAAUGCUUAGAUAUCACGAAGAACCCCGAUUGCGAAGGCAGCGUACCAGUCCUUAACUGACGCUAAAGCUCGAAGGUGCGGGUAU